This 72-nucleotide transfer RNA is filed under the name Danionella translucida. It matches the Rfam family "tRNA". Rfam says of the family: Transfer RNA (tRNA) molecules are approximately 80 nucleotides in length. Their secondary structure includes four short double-helical elements and three loops (D, anti-codon, and T loops). Further hydrogen bonds mediate the characteristic L-shaped molecular structure. tRNAs have two regions of fundamental functional importance: the anti-codon, which is responsible for specific mRNA codon recognition, and the 3' end, to which the tRNAs corresponding amino acid is attached (by aminoacyl-tRNA synthetases). tRNAs cope with the degeneracy of the genetic code in two manners: having more than one tRNA (with a specific anti-codon) for a particular amino acid; and 'wobble' base-pairing, i.e. permitting non-standard base-pairing at the 3rd anti-codon position. The record is from Rfam by way of RNAcentral. RNAcentral also lists the same sequence under 1 other name. Lineage: Eukaryota; Metazoa; Chordata; Actinopteri; Cypriniformes; Danionidae.
GGCUCGUUGGUCUAGGGGUAUGAUUCUUGCUUAGGGUGCGAGAGGUCCCGGAUUCAAAUCCCAGAUGAGCCC